CCUACGGGGGGCAGCAGUCGAGGAUUUUUCUCAAUGGGGGCAACCCUGAAGGAGCGACGCCGCGUGGAGGAUGAAGGGCUUCGGCUCGUAAACUCCUGUCACCGACGAACAAGACAUCCGGAUUAAUAAAUCGGAUGUUUGAUGGUAGUCGGAGAGGAAGGGGCGGCUAACUCUGUGCCAGCAGCCGCGGUGAUACAGAGGCCCCAAGCGUUGUUCGGAUUUACUGGGCGUAAAGGGUGUGUAGGGGGUCGGGUAAGUUUGACGUGAAAUCCCGUUGCUC
Molecule: ribosomal RNA, 280 nt
Filed under: uncultured bacterium
Lineage: Bacteria
Description: partial 16S ribosomal RNA
Rfam family: Bacterial small subunit ribosomal RNA
Source: RNAcentral